GGACAAACAAAAAUAAAAAUCUAGUUACAUAGGUACGAAAUCAAUUCAUCAUCUGUGACAUCUACCCAUCCUGUGAUUCCAAAUCAACAGAUUUAUUGAUCAACUCAUGAGUUGAGUAAACUAAUCGAAUGAAAAUAUUUUCAUUUUUUUAUUUUAAUAAUUAAUAAAAAGCUCUAUCCUUUUACUGGACGACUAAUUAAUUCAAUUCUUGAAAAU
Molecule: long non-coding RNA, 216 nt
Filed under: Medicago truncatula (barrel medic)
Lineage: Eukaryota; Viridiplantae; Streptophyta; Magnoliopsida; Fabales; Fabaceae
Description: long non-coding RNA (MTRU_LNC007308)
Source: RNAcentral